GACGAACGCUGGCGGCGUGCUUAACACAUGCAAGUCGAACGGAAAGGCCCUGCUUUUGUGGGGUGCUCGAGUGGCGAACGGGUGAGUAACACGUGAGUAACCUGCCCUUGACUUUGGGAUAACUUCAGGAAACUGGGGCUAAUACCGGAUAGGAGCUCCUGCUGCAUGGUGGGGGUUGGAAAGUUUCGGCGGUUGGGGAUGGACUCGCGGCUUAUCAGCUUGUUGGUGGGGUAGUGGCUUACCAAGGCUUUGACGGGUAGCCGGCCUGAGAGGGUGACCGGCCACAUUGGGACUGAGAUACGGCCCAGACUCCUACGGGAGGCAGCAGUGGGGAAUAUUGCACAAUGGGCGGAAGCCUGAUGCAGCAACGCCGCGUGCGGGAUGACGGUCUUCGGGUUGUAAACCGCUUUCGCCUGUGACGAAGCGCGAGUGACGGUAAUGGGUAAAGAAGCACCGGCUAACUACGUG
This 468-nucleotide ribosomal RNA is filed under the name uncultured bacterium. Its description in RNAcentral is "partial 16S ribosomal RNA". It matches the Rfam family "Bacterial small subunit ribosomal RNA", at positions 28 to 507 of the family's 1533-position model. The record is from RNAcentral.